Molecule: ribosomal RNA, 494 nt
Filed under: uncultured bacterium
Lineage: Bacteria
Description: partial 16S ribosomal RNA
Rfam family: Bacterial small subunit ribosomal RNA
Source: RNAcentral
GACGAACGCUGGCGGCGUGCUUAACACGUGCAAGUCGAACGGAAAGGCCUGCUUUCCCUUGUGGAUUGCGGGUACUCGAGUGGCGAACGGGUGAGUAACACGUGAGUGAUCUGCCCCCAACUUGGGUAUAAGCCUGGGAAACUGGGUCUAAUUCCCGAUAGGACUGCAGGGUGGUGCCUGUGGUGGAAAACGAUUUUCUAGUGGUUGGGGAUGAGCUCGCGGCCUAUCAGCUUGUUGGUGGGGUAAUGGCCUACCAAGGCGGCGACGGGUAGCCGGCCUGGGAGGGUGGACGGCCACAUUGGGACUGGGAUCCGGCCCAGACUCCUACGGGAGGCAGCGGUGGGGAAGAAUGCACCGUGGGCGGAAGCCUGAUGCAGCGACGCCGUGUGGAGGAUCACGGGAUUGGGGUAGUAAACUACUUUCGACCGCGAGAAGGCCACCUGGUUGGAAGGGUGGUGACGGUAGUGGUAGAAGAAGCACCGGCUAACUACGUG